GCAACCGUGGCCGAGAGGUUAAGGCGGUGCCCUGCUAAGGCAUUGGGUUCUCCCGCGUGCGUUCGAAUCGCAUCGGUUGCG
This 81-nucleotide transfer RNA is filed under the name Haematococcus lacustris. RNAcentral describes it as "Haematococcus pluvialis tRNA". It matches the Rfam family "tRNA". From Rfam's summary of the family: Transfer RNA (tRNA) molecules are approximately 80 nucleotides in length. The record is from Rfam by way of RNAcentral. Lineage: Eukaryota; Viridiplantae; Chlorophyta; Chlorophyceae; Chlamydomonadales; Haematococcaceae.